UUCCCCUCCAGUUUGAACUUGUCCACACUCCAGCACUGUAAGUGGCGGAAAUGCACCUUAACGUGUGUUGCCAUUUAAUGUAAAGAAGAACAAGAAGAAGUAUUUGUCCCUGUUCGUGCCACCAUGGCACCAGUUUGGUUGGCAAAUUAGCUAUGGUAGUGAAGGUAAUGUUGACACAGAAACACUGGGAACGUUUUUGUAACACCAUUUUGCCGAGGGAGAGGGAAUGUUUUGGAGACAAAGGGAUACAACCCUCCCAGAGUCAGAUUGGUGAAGCUGAGGACGAGGUCUGGGGACUCUACAAUGCCAUAACAUAACGUGGAUGAAUACAACACUACAAACUGUCUUCCUAGCUCUUUAUAGGACAGAUGGAGACAUGAAAGGGGAGAGAGAGAGAGGGGAAAUGAUAUGCAGCAAAG
Etheostoma spectabile (orangethroat darter) is the source of this 419-nucleotide long non-coding RNA. RefSeq lists it as uncharacterized. The record is from RefSeq and is a predicted model, not a curated record. The transcript is spliced from 3 exons. NCBI's taxonomy places the organism in Eukaryota, Metazoa, Chordata, Actinopteri, Perciformes, Percidae.